Ipomoea nil (Japanese morning glory) is the source of this 525-nucleotide long non-coding RNA. RefSeq lists it as uncharacterized. NCBI's taxonomy places the organism in Eukaryota, Viridiplantae, Streptophyta, Magnoliopsida, Solanales, Convolvulaceae. The record is from RefSeq and is a predicted model, not a curated record. The transcript has 2 exons.
CAGGAAACCCAUGAAACCCUACUCCACUUCUAUACAACAACUCUAUAUAAACAACGUUAGAUCUUUAAUUCGUUGCCCCUCACUAGCUCUAACCUCGGAACCAAAAAACAAGAACAAAAAACCAGACACAAAAAAUGAGACGAUUAUUCGUGGUGUUUGCAUUAAUCAUGAUGAUGAUAACUUGUUCUUGCUUGGUGACUGGGCGUCAAGUAGAGAGGAAGCUAGUGGUUGAGGACACUGAUGAUGAGAACGAUAAUAAUGGUUAUAUGAACUCUUCUGGCAAUUCUGAUUUGGAUAAUCACCAUUUCAAACGCAGGCAAGACUUCUACAACAAUAACACUAAUAAUAAUGAUGGUAAUAAUGGACCUAAAGGAGGGAGUGCAUGAAAAUACAAAUGGCGGAAGGUUGUGAAGAAGCUAGUAACGUUACACAAAUAAAAAAACAUAUCUUAAUGCUAUAAUAUAUUAUGUGUAAUAGCUAGUGUUUAUAUUCCAUAACACAUAGUUUAUGGUGUGCGCUGCAAAU